Molecule: ribosomal RNA, 240 nt
Filed under: Triticum aestivum (bread wheat)
Lineage: Eukaryota; Viridiplantae; Streptophyta; Magnoliopsida; Poales; Poaceae
Description: partial small subunit ribosomal RNA
Source: RNAcentral
AUGAAUUGCAUAAGCUGGAACUGCCGGGGGCUUGGGAACCCAGCGGCAGUUCGCGAGCUUCGCAGUAUUGUGAAGCAAGAAGGUCCUGCCCUUGUGUUUAUCAUGGAAACAAAGAUAAGGGCGAAGAAAGUAGAGAAUCUGCGAAAUACUUUGGGAUUUGUAGGAUGUUUUGCGGUCGACAGUAAUGGUCUCAGUGGCGGUGUGGGACUGUUUUGGUCGAGUGAAGUUUCAGUUGAACUG